RNAcentral lists this ribosomal RNA (117 nucleotides) under bacterium. The record is from RNAcentral.
CUGGGUGACCAUAGCGAAGAGGUCACACCCGUUCCCAUCCCGAACACGGCAGUUAAGCUCUUCUACGGCUGAGGUAGUUGAUUCGCAAGGAUCUGCAAGAAAGGCUAGUCGCCCAGU